UACGAAGGGGGCUAGCGUUGUUCGGAAUUACUGGGCGUAAAGGGCGCGUAGGCGGUACUUCAAGUCAGGCGUGAAAGCCCCGGGCUCAACCUGGGAACCGCGCUUGAGACUGGAGAACUAGAGUUCGGGAGAGGUGAGUGGAACUGCGAGUGUAGAGGUGAAAUUCGUAGAUAUUCGCAAGAACACCAGUGGCGAAGGCGGCUCGCUGGGACGUUACUGACGCUGAGACGGCGAAAAGCGUGGGGAGCAAACAGGG
RNAcentral lists this ribosomal RNA (256 nucleotides) under uncultured bacterium. RNAcentral describes it as "partial 16S ribosomal RNA". It matches the Rfam family "Bacterial small subunit ribosomal RNA", at positions 524 to 777 of the family's 1533-position model. The record is from RNAcentral.